Molecule: long non-coding RNA, 381 nt
Organism: Sebastes umbrosus (honeycomb rockfish)
Lineage: Eukaryota; Metazoa; Chordata; Actinopteri; Perciformes; Sebastidae
Exons: 3
Source: RefSeq, a predicted model, not a curated record
CUAUGCCGGCUUUUCUCCAGACCACAUGGCUGCCCUUUGUCUGAAUCUUCUCUUCUCUUCUCAACCUCGCAACAAAAGAACCUGCAAGACACCAGCAGAAGUGCUGCUACCGACAGAUGGACACAAAGAACUUCUUCUAAGGAACAAACCAAGUUGGCGCCAACCUGUGAACUCUAGAGAGACAAAGGAUUGAACCAAAACUCUCCAAACAUGACUCCUCCAACAUCUACAAAUGCAACUGGCAGUUAACCAAGAAAAUACUUUUCUUCCGUGGACUGGUUAAAGUACCUGGUCCUACAUUAGCGCAGAUGGCUAAGCAAGAAUGUUUAACCUCUGUCGAUGUACAUUUACUGAUUUCAUUAAAUGCUCUUUAUUGCCUUU